GGGGUUGUAGCUCAGUGAUAGAGUGCUUGUCUAGCACAUAUGAGUCACUGAGUUCGAUUCUCAGCACCA
Molecule: transfer RNA, 69 nt
Filed under: Ictidomys tridecemlineatus (thirteen-lined ground squirrel)
Lineage: Eukaryota; Metazoa; Chordata; Mammalia; Rodentia; Sciuridae
Description: Spermophilus tridecemlineatus (thirteen-lined ground squirrel) tRNA
Rfam family: tRNA
About the family: Transfer RNA (tRNA) molecules are approximately 80 nucleotides in length. Their secondary structure includes four short double-helical elements and three loops (D, anti-codon, and T loops).
Source: Rfam by way of RNAcentral